Molecule: ribosomal RNA, 288 nt
Filed under: Triticum aestivum (bread wheat)
Lineage: Eukaryota; Viridiplantae; Streptophyta; Magnoliopsida; Poales; Poaceae
Description: partial small subunit ribosomal RNA
Source: RNAcentral
AUGCCCUUAGACUUCACCAAGCACUUCCCGGCCGUGCCGACGGAGUUCAAGCUCAAGACGAACACCGGCUGCUCAUGGAGGGUCACUGUGAGGCUGACGAACAGUAGGGCCACCCUCGAUCAGGGUUGGGCCACCUUCGCCACCGUCCAUCAGAUCAAGAUCGGGUACAUGGUGACCUUCAAGUUGUUGACCCCCGACACGCUCAAGGUCAUCGUCUUCAAUGACGACGACAUUGAAGUGGUGACCAAGUGCGGGAGGCACGACGAGGCCUUCGAUGUGAACGUAUAG